Amphimedon queenslandica is the source of this 106-nucleotide long non-coding RNA. RefSeq lists it as uncharacterized. Lineage: Eukaryota; Metazoa; Porifera; Demospongiae; Haplosclerida; Niphatidae. The record is from RefSeq and is a predicted model, not a curated record. The transcript is spliced from 2 exons.
UGUUUGAGCUAAUUCUGAAACCCGAAAAUAGCAAGUAGUACAAUGAAGGAGAUAUACUGAGCCAACAAAUAAAGAUACUGAAUAAACAUUCGACAACAGCAAAAAA